UUUUACGUUAGUCCUCAUUAAAGAUUAAACAAAAAAGAGAGAGGACACACUCUACUACUAUUUCCGUCUCUGAAAAACAACGCGUUUUAUUCAAAAUCUGAGCAUAAUACAGUGAGCAUAAUACAGUCACUAGUUCUUUGAAGGAGUGAGACGUCUUACUCGUUUGUCGUGUCUGUUGAAAGUUGGGCAUGCGCAGUACGGAACACAGACGGCUCACUGGAGGGAACGUUACAGGUGCGUAAUUAAGCUGCCUCGUCCGAGACGGUUUGAAUUCGUAUUUCAUUGCAGGUUAAGUUGUAUCGAAUAUCUCAGUUUUUUUAGUCCAAUACAUUUUAAAUAUUAUAUUUAAUAUUAUUUGUUGUGUACACUGUUGCAGCCGAGCACAAGCUAACGUUAGCUAGCUAUCUUGCUAGCUAACGUUAGCUAACGUUAUUUAACUUGCUAGCUAAAACUGCUAACAGCAUGGACGAACUUGAUGACGUCACGGUGUCGACUUUAAGAGGUAACGUAGUCAAAUAUACAUUUUUAACGUGGUUAUUAAUUUUUCGUCAUAUUUAUUUUGCACCAGUAACACCAAGAAAAAUCCCUUUUAAGUAAAAACCUACUUUGCAAUACUUAUGAUUCAUCAGAGAGGUUAAGAUCAGCUAAAUUUAAACAGAUUAAGACUUGCAGUCCUCUCUAUAAAAUCGGUAGUAACUCUUAAUUCUGAACAGAUUUGAAUGGAAUGGUUUUAUUAUAAAUUGGAUAAAUUUAACUUUAUACUGGUUACGUGUUUCAAUUAAAUCCAGUUACUGGGGUGGAUCUACUCUGUUCUAUUAUACUAAAACAUUCGGAAUAACCACAACUUAAAAUAUAAAUUAUUUAGAAUGUAUGCUUUUAUGAGUUUCUAAAAAAUGUAGAUUGCUAUAUACAUUCAGUAAAUUUGAAUUAAAAUUGCUUCAGAAUUAAGAGAGUUACGACUGAUUAAAAUGUUUAAUUUACCACUCUGAUGUGAUGCAUAAUCCACUGAGGUAUGUCAUUUCUUUAUCUAUUGUUAUAUCAUGUGUAUUUACAUUUUUUGAUGAUGAAGUUCAUUCAUUUUCUGCUUGUUUAGUAAGUAUUUAUAUCCAACACCAUAAGGCAAUCACUAAACCUACCUUCAUUAUCACUAAAAGGAGAAUAUUAACACAAACUAUUUAGGAUUAUUGUUAUAACCUUAGUGGAGUUGUCAAUGCUGCAUCACAAUUUGUGUUAAGACAGUAUAAAUUAAAAGUUGCUUUUACAAAUACUUAAUUAUCUUUUAUUUUACAGGAAACUGUAGACUCAAAAUCAACGAGCAGUUCUACUUCUAUGAUUGGGUCACCCCUAUCUCAGACAUCCACUCAAGUAAAAAGAUGUCCCGCAAAGCACACAACACCUGAAAAUGUUGUGAAGUUAUCCUUCCCCGAAUAUGUAUUGCACACUGACACCAAACUAGAGCAAUGCCGAAAACAAUAUUUUGAGUUGGCGAAGGCCGGCGAAGAGAGAAACUGCCAAAUGUCAAAGGACCUCAGAUGUCGGCUCAUCCGAAACACCAUGACCAGUAUGAUCGCAAUCCUGAGGGCAACGGGGGACAGAGACAGAUACCCGUCAAAGCCAGAAAUAACAGCUAUGGCAAAGCGAACAGUGCUGUACUACCCCAUGCUGCAGGGCCGAGACCUGAGCAGCAAGUAUGCAUGGGUAGGUCAAAUGCAUCCAGGUGCAUGUUUGAUGUUUGAAGCAUUUAUUUGAAUUUUUCUUGUCACAGGUUACUGUGUACUCACAGCUAUACAAAAGAUUGAAAAAUUUGAGAUCACCCCAAAAGACCAAUCCAAAGAGGCGCCGACUCGAGGAGCUAAAGUGCCAACCUGACUGACCCAGAUGAAUUUGAUUCAAGUGACUCAACAGUCAUUCUGGAUCUCCCCUCAAAAGGGGGUAGCAUUCAAGCAUUCAAGACUUCCCUUCUGAAGGGAGUAGCACCCCAGACUCGGGCAACAAUGCCAGAUAUGCCCGCAUCUUUGCGUAAGAAGAAAACUCCAAACCGUGAGUCCGUCUCUCAGCUCCUGGGUUUGGAAUUUUCAGCCAGAAGAGCAUUCAUUGAUUCUUUUUGCGAGGAGGACAGACACAAGAAAAUUCCAGAGGACAUUGGACAUGUGAUGGAGGAGCUUCAACGCAUUCUGGACAAAAAUAACAUCCAUUACAUUGAUGAGCUGAAGGGAAGAUGGGACGACUUCUGCCAGAAGGUGCAGUUUUUUGGUGUGUGGAAAAAGCUGCUGAAACCCUCAGUAGGAAUGGACAAAGGCUCUCAGUAUCCUACGUGUGCUGCCUUCAUUGUCCCCCUCUUCAUCUGCUCCUCUGAAGAAGUUAGGACAUGUGAGUGAGGCUCUUGUGCAUGUCCUCAAGGAAAAAGAAGACCCCAAUGACUAUUUGAAGAAACGUCGUCUCUCCUGCCCAGUCCUUAUUGUGAGUUUGUCCAACUGCCUCCUGGCUGUAGGAGAUGUGCUGAUAACUACGCUCCCAAAAGACAAGGUAACACAGGGUGUUUUAUACCUUACGGCCUACUAUUAUGCUCUACACCUUACUUACCCCAGGUGCGUAGCCACUCUGCUCUCUGUCAUAAAAACGGAGGUUCUCUUGGACACAAUCCAUGAGCGAGACCUCACACCAUCUUUCAAGAAGGGCAUGGCUGACUGGAAAGCUUUUGUUGGCAAGUAAAGCCGUUUCCAUUCUUAUUUAGCAAAUGUUUCCCAAUGUUAAGGUCGCAAUAAUAACAAUGUUGUUGAUCUAUUGAGGGACACAGUGGUCAAAUAUUUAUGUUAAUGUUAGCCCAAGACCCAUAACUUGUUGCAAUAAUAAGCACAUUGUAAGUGUAUUGAGGAGACAGAGGUCAGAUGAUUAUGUCUGACUGUAAUCCAUGUGUUACACAUAUAUGUCAUGUUUUGCUAUGUUUUUUUACUAUUAUUAGUAUUUUAUUACAGUGCCAUACACACUGCGCCAAAACAUGACUGGUGCUGCAGGCACAGUGUAACUGACUGACUGCACUGUAUUGUAAGAAUUGUUUGCUCCCUCCUGCAUUUCAGAGCUAAAGAGGCAUGCUCUUUCUUAUGCAAAUAAAAUAUUUGUUUGUUUAAUGCACAACUUGUUUUCAUU
Gasterosteus aculeatus aculeatus (three-spined stickleback) is the source of this 3147-nucleotide long non-coding RNA. Lineage: Eukaryota; Metazoa; Chordata; Actinopteri; Perciformes; Gasterosteidae. The record is from Ensembl.